UACGGGGGGAGCAAGCGUUGUUCGGAUUUACUGGGCGUAAAGGGCGCGUAGGCGGCCACCGCAAGUCGACUGUGAAAUCUCUGGGCUUAACCCAGGAAGGUCAGCCGAUACUGCGGGGCUAGAGUGCAGAAGGGGCAAGUGGAAUUCUCGGUGUAGCGGUGAAAUGCGUAGAUAUCGAGAGGAACACCUGCGGCGAAGGCGGGUUGCUGGGCUGACACUGACGCUGAGGCGCGAAAGCUAGGGGAGCGAACGGG
Molecule: ribosomal RNA, 254 nt
Filed under: uncultured bacterium
Lineage: Bacteria
Description: partial 16S ribosomal RNA
Rfam family: Bacterial small subunit ribosomal RNA
Source: RNAcentral